CUCGAGCCCCAAAACCUUAUCUUCCCAAAGCCUCAUCUCCUCCUUCCUCCCACCACCUCGCCUCGCCAUGGCGGCCACCCUCUUCUCCACCUCGCUCACCCCCACCUUCCUCCCGGCCGUCCCCUGCCCCAAGCCCGCGCCGCCGGCCUCAGCCUGCUUCCCCUGCGCGCUGCCGCCGCGCGCCGCGCUAGCGGCGCCACCGGCGCCGCUGCGGAGGCGGCUUUCUCCCGUGGCCGUCGCGGUGUCGUCGGAGGUGGAGGAGGAGGAGGGUGGCGCGGAGUCCGAGGGGGAGUUCGCCGAGGACCUCAAGGUGUUUGUUGGUAACCUUCCGUUCAGCGUCGACAGCGCGCAGCUCGCGGGGCUCUUCGAGCAGGCCGGCUCCGUUGAGAUGGUCGAGGUAUAAAUUACUCACACGGCCUCUUUUUCGAAUAGAUUCAUAGUUUCAUCUCGGUAAAUUGGGCGACGCAAUUUUGCUAGAGUGGACUAAACAGUCUAUUUAUACAUGAGGAAUCCACUAGAUGAGGAAUUACUGCAACGAAUUGGUUCAGUGUUCUCUAGGAUUUAUAUUUGAGUUUUAUAUGUUAAUGCUCAAAUGUUUUUUUUAAUUGGUUCAAUAGUAGUUAAAUUACGCAACAAAUAGAUGUUCUGAAUUCAAUUGUCCAGCCAAGCAAGGCAACUACAGAGUGUCAUGCGUACAAGUGAGUGGGUUCUUCUCAUGAUAAUAAUACUAAAAAAAACUAGAAUAUUAGGGAAGGACCUAAUAUCAAAUAAUUAGGAGGGAUGAGGCUUUAAACCCAGGUCGUCUAGCCCACCACCUUGUGAAGCUAGCCGGAAGACCCCUGGGCAUUUCUCUCAUGAUAAUAAUACUAGGUUCUCGUUUUCUUUUUUUCUUUUUUUUUUUUGUGACAGGUUGUAUAUGACAGACAGACCGGAAGAAGCCGUGGCUUUGGAUUCGUCACAAUGUCUACAGCUGAAGAAGCUGGUGCUGCCGUCGAACAAUUCAAUGGAUACGUGAGUAUACUCCCAUGUUAUAUUAAUCUCUUUUGUGGUGCAUUCUUAUAAGUGGGUUAAUUAGUUAUAGCGGAAAUUUGUGCAUCUAUGCGAAAAGUUUAGUUCUCUAUCAACUGUGAUGUUGUAGUAUUGAUGGUUUAUGAACAUUGUGCACUUAAAAUUAACUGUUUAUGUAGCAAAAGGUUAUACUUGAACCAGCAUUACUAAAAUCCUGAAACCUGAUUCUCAGCAUGACUGACUGCUUUUUCAUGUCGUUUUGACAUUUUGCUUAAUGUCUUGAGACCAAUCCAUCAAAAAUUGUUUCGUGUCCAAAUCCCUGGCAAUACAUUGAAUGGUUGAAUAUUAGUGAUUAAUCAUAUUAUAUUUCAAAACAGACAUUCCAAGGAAGACCUCUGAGGGUAAACUCAGGGCCGCCUCCGCCUCGGGAUGAUUUCGCGCCAAGAUCACCUAGGGGUGGUGGGAGCAACUUUGAUUCAUCCAACAAGCUCUAUGUAGGGAACCUUGCUUGGGGUGUCGACAACUCGACACUCGAGAACCUGUUCAGUGAGCAGGGAACCGUGCUCGAUGCCAAGGUCAUCUACGACAGGGAGAGCGGCAGGUCGAGGGGUUUUGGUUUUGUCACCUAUGGCUCCGCUGAAGAAGUCAACAAUGCCAUAUCAAAUCUUGACGGCGUUGUAAGUACCAAACAUAUUCUUAUUUUAACAUGUCAAAUUUCACCAUUCCAAUUCCCUCUCAAGCUAAGUUGCUCGAGGUGAUUUGUAUAUAUAAUUGCUCAUAUGAUUUCAGUAAUUGUAAGUAUGCUAAUUGAUUGUGUGCUUUUGUUCUUUAGGACCUGGACGGCAGGCAGAUCCGAGUUACAGUUGC
RNAcentral lists this long non-coding RNA (1875 nucleotides) under Oryza sativa (Asian cultivated rice). Its description in RNAcentral is "long non-coding RNA (OSAT_LNC001407)". The record is from RNAcentral. Lineage: Eukaryota; Viridiplantae; Streptophyta; Magnoliopsida; Poales; Poaceae.